Long non-coding RNA from Strigops habroptila (Kakapo), 375 nucleotides. RefSeq lists it as uncharacterized. The record is from RefSeq and is a predicted model, not a curated record. NCBI's taxonomy places the organism in Eukaryota, Metazoa, Chordata, Aves, Psittaciformes, Psittacidae. The transcript is spliced from 3 exons.
ACCAAAGCCCCGGAUUUGGAAUCCGAGUCCAUCUGCAGAAUCCGGAAUCUUCACUGUCCUGAUACAAACAAAGAUUCAAAAGGAAUGUAGAAAAUGUUAUUCAAUAAAAAGUUUCAGAUUCAGCACCAUCCACUUACAGAUACUUUGCACCACUGACAUGAGAAAAAGGGCAAGCUGAGAUGCUGAAACCAAUCAAAGGAAGGCAAUACCGUUUCACAGUGCCAUUGCAUUUCUCAAGACACCUUUGCUUAUUAAUGUAAGAAACACGUCUCCAUUCUGCUGCUGAACCAGAGCCAUUUCCAAGGCACUCUGUGUGUGCUACCUGGUAAGAGAGUAUGGUUCCUCCUUACCCAGCAAAAUUUGAUCAAAAUUGCU